ACGUAGGGCGCAAGCGUUAUCCGGAAUUAUUGGGCGUAAAGAGCUCGUAGGCGGUCUGUCGCGUCUGCUGUGAAAACCCGAGGCUCAACCUCGGGCCUGCAGUGGGUACGGGCAGACUAGAGUGCGGUAGGGGAGAUUGGAAUUCCUGGUGUAGCGGUGGAAUGCGCAGAUAUCAGGAGGAACACCGAUGGCGAAGGCAGAUCUCUGGGCCGUAACUGACGCUGAGGAGCGAAAGGGUGGGGAGCAAACAGG
RNAcentral lists this ribosomal RNA (252 nucleotides) under uncultured bacterium. RNAcentral describes it as "partial 16S ribosomal RNA". It matches the Rfam family "Bacterial small subunit ribosomal RNA", at positions 525 to 776 of the family's 1533-position model. The record is from RNAcentral.